This 26-nucleotide non-coding RNA is filed under the name Homo sapiens (human). The record is from RNAcentral. Lineage: Eukaryota; Metazoa; Chordata; Mammalia; Primates; Hominidae.
GACCAAAGAGGCAUGGUGAUCGGUAA